This 19695-nucleotide long non-coding RNA is filed under the name Linum usitatissimum (flax). RNAcentral describes it as "long non-coding RNA (LUSI_LNC003270)". Lineage: Eukaryota; Viridiplantae; Streptophyta; Magnoliopsida; Malpighiales; Linaceae. The record is from RNAcentral.
GCUAAUUCUUGUUAAGGGUUUCAAAUUUAAAUUGGUCCACCGCUAUUUUGUAUUUGAAGGCAGAAAACAAAAUACUCCAAAAAGAGCACCAACAGAAAAAGACGCUAAACAGAGAAGAAGAAUAAGAAGAAGAAGAUAGAGAAGCUCGGAGAAGCUGCAGACAGGGCAGGGACCAGGAAAGGCAAAGGCAGCCAUUAUUCUUUCCUUUCUUCCUUCACCCCUAGCUUCUCCCAUCCUUCAUUUUUAUACAACAUUUCUCUUUUCUCUUCACUCUCUCUCUAUUGCAGAGGGGGAAAAGAAAAGAAAUUCGAGAAGAAAAAAAAAGGGGAAAAAAAAUAAAAAAAAAAGUAGAGGAGAGGAGAGGUGGAAUUGAAAGGAGAAAGGAAGUAGAAGAUCGGGGAGCUUCUUCUUCUCUCUGCAUUUCUUUUUCUUUCUUCUUUUCUGUGCGGGGAUCGAUCUUACCGCUUCCCAUCCAUUUCUCCGUCAUUGUCUGCAUAAGUAAUUCCACCAAUGGAGGGUUCUGGCUUUUCGGCUUCGGGAUCUGUCUUCUCCUUCACCGUCUUCUGUUGAUCUUCUCCGUCUCAGGUUGGUUCGUCUGCCACUUUCUGUUCGCAUUUGAGUUUCCACUUUUUUUUCCGUGUUUGGAGAAGCUAGGGUUCGGUGCAGAUCUAUUGGAGUUGAAUAGUUUGCUGUUGGUGUUUCCGGUGAGCUGAUCGGGUGCAUUGUUGGUGUUUGGUUAUGAAUGGCGGAAAUCUUUGGCGAACAUUCCUAGGGUUUUUGUUUUGUUUGGUAGCUCGUGUAUAGUAUAAACAAAGUUAGGUGGUUGCGGACUUCAUCCUGAUUCUCAACUUCGAUUCAGCCAUUCUCACGUGUGAAGCUGAACUUCCGUUGGACUUUUUCUCGUAGAAUUAGUAUAUUUAUUAUUGAAGAAUUUGGGAAUUCAGGGAAUCAUCGAUUUCAUAUUUUGUUUGCUUCUCUUCCUGCUACGAAUGUAACGAAAAAAUAUUCAAUAACAAAGAAGAAAAAUUGAAGUUAUAGUUCUUGGGUGUAUACAGCGUAUGCAUCGUUGCUCUUCCUGUUAGUUAUUCCUUUGAAGCGUUUCUAGGUGACUGCAUUUCUUGUUGGCACUUUGUUCGUCUCCUUCUAUAGAUAUCCUGGUGUAGUAAAUAUUAAACAUGUCAGCGAAUAUGGCUAAAUUUCUUGUCUUCAAAAAAAUCAGGANNNNNNNNNNNNNNNNNNNNNNNNNNNNNNNNNNNNNNNNNNNNNCUGCUUCUAUUAAGUGGUUGUUCUUCGUCAAUUUCUCCAAGCAGAACGCAUGCAUUCAUCAAAAUUUUCAUAGCUCUGAAUCGUGGAAGUUCUGGGCUGGGUGCAGGUAGUGUGAAGUCACUGGUUGACUGGUUGAACAAUCUGUUCCCGUAUCUAAAUUUACCCUCUGAAACAUCCGGGGAGGAGCUAAGAGAUUGCUUGAUUGAUGGUACUGUCCUGUGCAGCAUCUUGAACAAACUGAGACCUGGUUUGAUUGAUAUGGUAAAGGUGCUUUGAUUUUUCCUUAAAGACACGUCCCACUUACUUUCUGGAUCUGAACAGCUAGUGUCCCUCUUUUUACUUUCAAAACAACGAAAGAGAGCCAGUUUCAGGCCUGGUGUGGACUAUCUCAAAACGUUUCUAGAUGCAAUGGAUGAAAUGGGCCUUCUUAGGUUUGUACUUGAGGACAUACAACAGGUAUGGAGCUUUACCUUAUCGGAGCUCAGUAAAGUUGCUUGUAUUGCAUGUCUGACUUGCAUUUAUAAGUCUAUAGGCAUUUGAUUUGAUGAAAUUGUUAGCAUGCCACAGUCGUUUGGACCUUGAUCUGGGGCCAUAAGGUCAUAUUUAUUCCACACGUUCUACUUUUCUAUUCCUUCUGGUAGUUGAAUGCUUGAUGAACCAACAACUGACUCCAUCCCAAAUGUAGAAGAUGGUAAAAAGAGAGGAAGAUCAUAGAGAAUCAAACAAAAAAUUUUUACAAUUAACAUCCCAGACAACUUUGGUUGCAUGUUGGAAUUGCUUUUGCUCAUUCUCAACCACUAUUUCCAGGGUUAUAUGUUGCCUGUACUGCAAUGCCUUGGGACUCUGAAGGAGCAUUUAGAAAAUGUAGAUAUUCAUAAUAAUUCAAGAAGGAGAUGGAAUGUGCAUGAGGUGGAGCUUUCUAACAGAGCUGAUCAUUCUCAACGUGAUUCAUCGUUAGGCUUGGAGAACUCAACUGUUGAUGGUGAAGAAAAGCAAAGGAGUGCCUCUGAUGGCUCAGAUCGACUUGGUCUGCCAGGUUCUGAUUCAUCAGGUAUUUCAGCAUAUUGUUUUCAUUAUAAUGUACUGAACUGAUACUUGGUCUGAACGUCAUCAACAUUGGCAUCGUGGAAAUGCCAUAACCAUAGUAAAGCUUAGGAGGCUUCUUGAUAUUCAGUUCAUCCAGCUGUUUUAUACUUUAUUCAGCUUUGAUGUUGGAAAAAAUGGAUGCAUUUCUUCUGCCUUGGGAUCGGUGGAUAGAUGAAUUAUUUGUAGAUAGGUGGUUUGGUUGACUGUUUGCCGUUUGUUCAUAACAUGGCCCACUUUGUUUCCAGCCUACAUGUAGUUAGUAGAUCCUUCUUUCUCUAUAAGGAGUUGCCGUUGAUUAAAUGGAAGUAGUGAUUGAUUCAUCUAGCUUUGGGCAUAUUCACUAUGAAACUGAGUGGCUCUCGUUUAAGGUGACGGGUGUAUAUGUAACUAGUCUUUUUUGUUGCGUUAGCUUCAGCCCUUUUUAUUAUUCUUGGAGAUGAACAAUAUGCAUACAUGUGUUUAUACCCUAGACAUUUUUUGUGGUUGUGUAUUGCUGGGACGAUGGUUGUGUUUCUCGUAUAUAUGAACAUUAUAUGUAUGUUUAUUUGAGGAAGGAGAUAUUCUCGUGCAAAUUAUUUGUGCUCUUUGUUUAUGGUUGUUUCUCUUUCAGAACCGUCUCAUUCACUGGUAAAUGAUGCUGGAAAUAAGUUGUCCGAGGUGCUGAAGCAGGGUUUAUCAGCUGAGUGCUCAGGUGAUAACAUUGCAGAGCUGAUAAAGUUUAGCACAGUGGAUGUAAGUUGAUCAACUCUUCCAGGCGUGUAUCCCUGUAUAGAAAACCUGAUAUGGAACUACUCUUGUUCUUAUCGCCUAUGAAGAUUUCCUCUCAUGUCUCCGUAACUUUUUCUGUGGCAGAAUACAUCAACCCGUGCAUUGUUCGAUUUUCUCAAUAAGAUACUUGAUGAGAGCAUUGACAAAAAUGAUGGCCAUGUUUAUCAUGUACGAAGAUGAGAAAUUCAUGGUUUUUAAUGCUUUUCGUUGACAGCUACUUCAUUGUUAGAUAUUUCUAGUCAGCAAUUCUCCUUUUGCUAAUCAUAUAACCAAUUGUGUUUCUAAUCCUCUUCAAACACAGAUGGCUAGGAUGUUGAAGCAAGUCGUCCAAGUUAUUGAACAUAGAGUGUCUGCUCAAGCAGAAAACAUGAAAGAGGUAAUACCCUGGAAAAUCUUAUUUCAUUUUCUAUUCCCCGUUAGUGUUAAUGUAUGUGCCUUGCUACAUAUAUAUAUAUAUAUAUAUCAAAUUCCCUGGCUUAUAAAUGCUCAUUUGGCAUGUUGUCUACAGCAAAACAAUCUUUGUACGGCUCGCUCUGGAAAGUACCAGUCAAGAGUAAAAGUAUUUGAGACCAUAGCUUCCGAGAGCACAGAAGAAAUUGAGGUGCUUUUGCUGCAAAGUUUGUUUAAGGUUGUCGUUUCCCCUAGUAAGGUUGCUAAAUGAUUUUGUUUAUUUUGCCUUGGCGCAGGUUUUGUUUUCACACCUAAAACAGAUAAAGGUUUGACCUCAUCAUCCUCAGCCUUUAUUUCUAGUUGAUAUCAUGUCCAUACCAAUUUCUGCAAUUGAACUCUGCAUUUUUACAUUGAUCGUAGCAUCUCUUUUGGUGACAAGUUGAUAUAUGCUUGCUUCAGUAUAAGAGAAAGAUUGUAUUCUGGACCCUCCCUAAUUUUUCUCUUACAAAAUAUCCGAGUGGUGUGGGAAAUAUCUUUACCAGGCCACUGCCUUUGUAACUACCUGUCACCAUUAUUUUAAAUAUAGAUGUGACUUCCUUUUAGGUUAAAUGCUGUUAACGUUUAAAAAGUUUACUAUAAUCACUCUGUUUUAGCAAGUAACAUAUGGAAAGGCUUUGAUAAGAUGUCAAAGUGUCCUUGUCCAGAGUACCUUCUAUGUGAUCUUCACUUUAUUUAUUGCCCGUGUUUCAUGUUGCAGAUUGAGAAAGCUGAAAUAGAAGAAAAGGAAAGGCUCAAAGAACAGGAUUUGGUUAGGUUGAAGCAAGAUAACAUCUCUCUGCAGAAUGAGAAAUCUGCUCUAAAACAUGAACUGGAGACAUUGAAGAAGGCGCAUGAAGGGCAUUGCUUACAGUUAGAAGCACAGGCUAAGCAAAUAGCACAUGCGUUGGAAAAGAAGUCACAUGACCUUGAGUGUUCUCUGAUGGAGUCAACGAAGCGGGUGAAACAACUCGAAUCCUUCUCAGAAUCCAAAUUUGUAGGAUUGAAGAAGAAAGAGGAGACCUUCAGAGUCUUCCUUGGUAAUCAGCAGAGAGUUUUACAGGUUUGCUUUAAGAAUCAAUCUCUCAACCUGUGGUUCUAUUGGUUGUAAAGGAUGCUGUCCUCAUAUGUUAUAUUGCAUUGCUAGGAACUGAGAGCAGCUUAUGCAUCUAUCAGGCAAGAAGUUAGGAUGACAAAAAGAAGAUAUGCAGAGCAGUUUUAUGGCUUUGGUAGAGCUAACCGUUUCACUCAUUUUGGCUGCUCUGUAUUGAUAGACAUCAAUUAUUUUCUCAUGAUGUAUAUGUUCUGUGCAGGAGUGGAGCUUGAAGGAGUAGUGCAUGCUGCUGAGAAUUAUCAUUCUGUUCUUGCAGAAAAUAGGAAAUUAUACAAUGAGGUUCAGGACUUGAAAGGUAUAAUCUAUCACUUACUUCAUAUCGCCUGCACGAUUUGUUGCUGAUACCUGUUUUCUAUGUCUUCACAGGGAACAUUAGAGUUUAUUGUAGGGUAAGGCCAUUUCUCCCCGGCCAAUGCAAGAAACUAACGACAAUAGAGUAUAUGGGGGAAAAUGGCGAGUUACUAGUCUCAAAUCCAUCAAAGCCGGGGAAAGAUACACAUAGGAUGUUCAAAUUUAAUAAAGUUUUUGGUCCAGCCGCUAGUCAAGGGCUGUACUAUAUUCCUCAAUAAGAUGCUACAUCUUGUUUUUCCUCUUUCCAAAGUUUUUCCAGUAUAUGUUAAUUAGUGUAUUAACAUUGUGAUGGUUUGCAGAGGAAGUAUUUUUGGAUACUCGGCCUUUAAUUCGGACCGUUCUUGAUGGAUUUAAUGUAUGCAUUUUUGCUUAUGGCCAAACUGGAUCAGGAAAGACAUACACAAUGGUAUGUUAGUCGAUGAUGUAGUGCUGUUAUAUUUUGUGCAUGUGUGUAUUUUCAAAUGUUAUUCAAAGUAAUUAUCUUUUUCUUAUAUCUUUAUCUGUUUAUCUGUUUCCCAGAGUGGGCCUAACAUAUCAUCAAAGGAAGGUUGGGGAGUCAAUUAUCGAGCGCUACGUGACCUUUUUCAAAUUGCUCAAAGCAGGAAAAGCUCGGUUACAUAUGAGAUUGGUGUUCAAAUGGUCGAGAUCUAUAAUGAACAAGUUCGUGACCUUCUCACAUAUCAUGGUGCACAGAGAAGAUAUCCUUUUAAUUGAUUCAAUUUUCUACUCGUACAUUAAAUUUGGCUCCGUGGUUAUCUUCUAGCUCUUUAUAAUGGCAUCUUUUAAGUGAUAUCCGUCCAAUUGUUUUUGUUAUCACUUUAGAUUGACAUUAGUCUUAUUAUCCACAUUGGAAGAGUUUAUUGACUUCAAUCUGUUCUUUAAACUCGUCUUAUAAAUUGGAAGCACUCUGAGAUACUCUAGAUUGACUUGUCUGAACUGCCUAAUUAUUCUAGAUGAGGAGAUUUGCCGAGUCUUUAGUUUAACUUUGCAUUGGAUAAUGUUGAUAUAUCCCUUAUUAAUCUAUCAAAAUCUAUGCUACUCAUGUUUCAAUGCAAGUGUGGUUUCAAGUUCCCUUUCUCUUUGCACAACAGGAUAAUAGUACUUUCAUUUGAGUUAACCAUCUUUUGGAUGUAUUAAAUGUUUUCUUUGACUGGCACACACUCGGGAUUUGGAGCACAACCCAGCCAAAUGGGUUAGCUGUCCCUGAUGCCAGCAUGCAUCAAGUUACUUCGACAGAAGAUGUAUUGGAGUUGAUGAAUAUCGGGUUGAUGAACCGUGCUGUUGGUGCCACCGCCUUAAAUGAAAGAAGUAGUAGAUCCCACAGGUUUGCCUCUUUAACAGUAUUGUUAUGUUGACAUUGGGUUCGUAAGUAAUUACUAUUGAGGAGUUGCGCACAAUCAAUUUUUGCAGUAUACUCACCAUUCAUGUCCGAGGCAUGGAUUUGGAGUCUGGUACUCUGUUACGAGGGAAUCUACACUUGGUAGAUCUUGCUGGCAGUGAAAGAGUGGAUCGGUCUGAAGUGACUGGAGAUAGACUAAGGGAGGCACAGCAUAUAAACAAGUCCCUCUCUGCGCUUGGAGAUGUAAUAUUUGCCCUUGCACAGAAAAGUCAACAUGUGCCGUACCGAAACAGCAAACUUACUCAAGUCCUUCAGAGUUCUCUAGGUAUUAUUUUGUUUUGCUGAACUGGCCAGUAACAUGUUCAUCAUUAUGCAAAUCAAAUUAACUCCAUUUUUGCUAAUUUCACAUUUUAGGUGGUCAAGCCAAGACACUUAUGUUUGUGCAGCUUAAUCCUGAUAUUGAGUCGUAUUCUGAAACUUUGAGCACUCUGAAGUUCGCUGAGAGAGUUUCUGGAGUUGAGUUGGGAGCUGCAAAGAGCAAUAGGGAGGGAAGAGAUAUUAGAGAACUUGUGGAUCAGGUAUUAUCUCCCGUCCAAAAGAACAUUGCUAUGCUUUUGAAGAAACUACUUGGUCCAAGGUGUAAGUUUAUAAAAUAAAUUUUUGUAGGUCACAUCGCUGAAGGAAACAAUUACAAAGAAAGACGAAGAGAUUGAGCGGUUGCAGCUGCUCAAGGUUAAUGUCAAUGGCACAAGGUCUAUCCGUAAUGAGUCCUCUCCAAGAAGAUUUUCAAUUGGACAUUUGCAGCACAGCCCUAAAUCUCCUGGAAGGAAAACCGCACCACUCUCUGACAAAGAAAUAGACAUCUGCUCCGAAUACGGUGAAAGAACUUCUGAUACUUUUUCACUGCAGUCAAUGGACGAGUUAAAGCGGCAUAGGGGACAUUUAGGACAUUCAAAGCCAAUGACUGAUUUACCAAGGGAAGCAGAGCAUCUGGCUGAGUCCAAGCUUGCAGGAGCAAAGGGUGGCCAGAAUCCCACGGAAGAAGCUGCACUCUUCUGUAGUGGAGGUGGAGAUUCCGAUGAAAGAAUAAGUGACAUAUCGGAUUCCGAUGAGAGAAUAACUGAAACUGAUGAUUCUUCAGGCAGUGCAGUAGAACAUGCACAUUUCACCGAACCUGCAAGACAAAUGGAACCUGCAGGUUUGGCUCAAGCUGCAAUCUCAUCUAGGAUUGUGAAUUCGGUAGCAACCUCCAGACGAUAUGGUAACCUAGCACAACCUUCAAGAUCUUCUGGAGCUGGCAGUCCAGCUGUAGGUACAGAAAGGUGAGUAGCUGUUGGUUUGCUUCACAGUCGUUCACUUUGUUUUAGUUGCACAUAUGAUUUAGAACUGCUACUGAUUUGGGUUUUCAUUUGUUUCUCCAGGCGCGGUGUUAGUUCGAAUCUUCCAAAACCCUCUCAAAAGGUGCCACAAACGAGAGUAUCUCGCUUGUCAUUGCAUAAACCAGCUGCAACCACCACAAAGUUUCAAUCAAGUAUGUAUCCAUCAUCUAAUUCCCUAUUCGUUUCUGUGGUAGCUGUAUCUAACCUCUGUCUAUCUCUUUCUCCCUUUUUUUCCCUCUAAGCAGCUCCUCCGAACUCUAGAAAACCUGCAGCUACAGCCGGCAACUCCUCAGCGAGCAGAUCAAUCAGGGCAACGGGGGGGCAUCAGAAAUGAAAAGAGUCCCUAAGUUUGUAAUCCUAACUUCUAACUGUAAACUUUGUAGCUUUGUGUGUUGUCUAUUGGCUUCCAUUCAUCUCAUGGAAUCAAAGGAUAGGCAUACUAAUGAUCUCUAUGUAGAAUGAAAAGUGUUGUAUAUACUAUCUAGUGUGAACUUUAAAAGGAAAAGAAAGGAUCUGAGUGUGAGGUCUCCCUCACCAAUGUUUUUGUUUUGUAGAACCGAAAUUGUUGUAUUAUGAAAACGAAGAAAACAAAAAGACUAAGAAAGUAGAAAGCACUAAACAAAACAACUGGAAUCUGCUUAUCCUAUUUGAGUUAUAGCUACUGAUGUUCAUGUUUCACCAUGGCACUGGAGCCCUAUUGGUAUUGGCAGGCGAACCGGUUCCCCUGGACGUGGCAUUUGGAAUUUAUGAUCGAUACCAUAGAUGUCGGUUGUUGAUGUCUUCAAAUCAAACACAUGAAUGUUGAAAUAGACAGCGGCACAUUCAAUUACUUCUUCAGCUUCCAGAAAAUAGAUGCAGUUCCUUUUGAUCCCAAGUAGCUCAGUGGACUCUUCCGCUGGAACUGGAACUGAAAAUGGCUGGCCGAAUCCGACGAUCACAGCAGCGUCUCCGAGAUCUCUCAACUCAACCCAUUGGUUCAGUUGUGUGUCAAGUUUAUACACAUCAAAGCUGCGAUGUGGAGGCGUGAUUUGACGUACCAGCAGGAUUUGGCCGUUGAAUUCCACCAGAUAGUUGCGUUUAUUGUCAGAUUUGAAAGCUUCAAUCUGAGAGCUACUCGCCACCUUCUUCUUCUCCACGAAUCCCGAGUCGAAAUCGCAACAGUAGAGCUCGCCCGCACGCAGCAAAACGUAGAGACUCCGAACCAGGCAGAGUGCAUCAACAACAUAAUUCAGCUCCCCCUGUUGGAAGUCUGUAAAGUCCACAAUUCCCCAGUCAGAAUCUCCGACUCUGCAAUACGUCAGGAAUUUCUCCAGAGGCAACACCACGAAGACAUACCAUUCAGAAAAAGAGUGGUGGGGACUCCACAUUGAGACCUUCCUGUUAUACCAGAACCCCCAAGUCUGAAACUCAAAGUGAUUAAUGCUCUUCCUGGAAUUCUUGGGAAGCGAAACUUGCGAACCGGUGAUAGGGUUCCGCAGCGCCAAAUCGGUCUCAUUAUAGUCCAGAAGGAGCAUACAUCCUCUGAAGGAUCCGAUGCAGAGGCUUCUCUCUGGCAAACUCCAUGGAAGAAGUAUGUGGUUUGUCGUGUGGUUCAUCUUGAAACUGCCAUUCUUAUUAUGAUGCUUGAUUAUCUCCGUUAGCGGUAUGUAGUAUCGGCUGCUGUUGCUGCAUGGCGGCUGUUGUGGUUCUGGUGGAAAAGUAGUAAUAACUAAGCCAGGAAUCUGCCGCUCAACGAUGCGGCGGCGUUCCUGUAGACCGACCAGUCUCCAGGAGCGGCAUACACUGCUGAAACGGAUGUUGGCGGAGAAAUCGAGGUCUUUCUCGGCUAAUGAACGAAGGAGUUCGUCAGGGAGAUUUUGCCAAUCCGCCAUUGUUUUUGUUUUCAAGAGGGGCUGAAACUGUGAAGAAGUAUUGGGAACAACGUGGUAUUUGUGUUGGGGGUUUGGUUUUUCCUUAGAGAAUCAUUUUUCCAACUUAUUUAUGAAGCUACUAAUCAGCAUAUUUAUAUUUAUGCACAUACUAUAUUGGUUUUCUACUUUAACAGAGAUUAGUAUCGUCCUACUUAAAUUGCGUAAUACUACAGGAAAUAUGAAUUCGGAUUUCUGGAUCUUAUUCGAAUAUGAGUUAUUCUGGUGGUAAAUCUGUGUGUUUGGUGACUUAGAGGUCUCGAGUUUGAAUUCAACUCAUCUCAUGAAAUGGACACCAAUGUUAUGUUUACUUUCUGUCUUCUUUUGUAUUGACCGAGAGUGUCUCGAUCUACUCUGAUAAAAAACAAUUAAUUAUUGAUAUAUUUAGCAUUUGAAUCGAUUAUAUCUAACUCUAUAUUAAGUGUUUAUAGCUAUUUGAGACUGAGCAUUGAAGAUGGUCUAAUGUUUGGAGGUAAAGUGUUAAAUUAUAACACCGAAUGUGCUCUAAUGCAACAUCCUAAAGUGUCAAAAUGCUAUAAAACUCAAAAUUGAGUAUCAAAUUUAGCUCAAUGAUCUAACGGCGGUCUGUAUUCGCAGAGAGAGUUUAUGGGGGAUUUGUGAUUCUUUUUCGUCUUCUCGUCGUUUUUAUUUUCGCUGUAACUUUUUUAUUUUAAUUCCGAUUUGGAUAAUUUUAUAUUAAAAUUUUUAUAUUUCAAAGAUGAAUAUAACCAGAUCAAUUUUAAUAGUAUUCCAUAACUUAUAAACCUACUUAAAAAGUCAAAUUUAGCACUUUGAUUUGACACUUUAGCACGCAUCAUUGGAGCAGAAACACUUUUCAAAAUGCUACCAAAUUUAGCACUUUAGCACUUACCAUUAGAGAUGGCCUUAUGAAGUUCCACCAAGUUCAACUAUUUAUUUAAAUAAAGAGUAUUUUUGUCAUUUAAUUUUUAAUUCUUUUUCAUAAUUAUCUGCCACAUUAUCGCCAGAGUGUCACAUAAUCGCCGCCCAUAAGUCUCCGACGAAUUUUUCGGUGAGUCUUUAGCGACUUUUCCAACAAACCCCUGAUUAUUUUGCCGAUAAAAAUUUAUAAUCGGUUAUAUUAUAAUCCAUUAUAAUUAAUUUUAACAAGUUGGAAUAACGUGAUGUUGGCGGUGUAGGGUAUUUGUGGUAGUGAACCGUGUGUGGCCUCUUUUCCUUUUAUAGUAGUUUUGAGAUUGAAUUAUCUAGGCAAUUGAUCCAUCGUGAGCAAAUCCGAGCCUUUGGUUAUUGUCGAGUGGUCUUUGUGUGUGGUGACUCUACGCUUUUGGGGCCUUGAUUUUAUGGUCAGUACCCUAGGGCCCAUCAGGAGCUGCUAAAGAGAUAAGAGUCCGGUCCAACCGAAUCCCCUUGACGCCUUGGGCUUAUUUUUUUGGUUGAGCCCAAAACUUAAGUUUGAUUGAAUUCAUUAACUUUACUCCCCAGUCAUUCAAUCCACGAAUAUCCUGAAUUUGCAGAGCAGCGAUGUUAUAUUUGAGACAAAACUGAAGGAUUCUGUCGGUCAGUGAGACCAAUAAAACCCACACGCAUUACAUAAUUUAUAAUACGGUCUAAUUAAUUUUGGAAUCCAUGCAUGUGAACAUGCAGACUGCAAUCAACCCAGACCCCACAUGGAAUUAGUAGAAAUAUAUAGCGUAACACAGUCCUCUGACAAAUGAAUAUCACCAGCAACAGCAAUGAACCACCAAUCUCUCCAGGACUAUAUUUUCCACUUAAUUUCUUUUCUUUUUUAUGAAAACUUAAUUUUAUUUCAUCAAAAACCACCUUCGGUCCCAUAAAAAAUUUAUCUACUGAAUACAAAAAAAACUUCAAAGACAAUAUGGAAGCUCGCCUGAGCAAGGCCGAGAAGAAAUUAAAACAGAAAACUAACUAAUUCUAAUCAGGUGCAGGCAAUCAGGAUCUUUUUUUCUUUAAUUCUUGAAUUAAUUUUGGCGUGGUCUGAGAUAUCACGUAUCAAGUCAUUUGUAUUGACGUGAUUCCCAUAAAAACAUGAUUACAUCUCUCCUUUCAAAUCGAUGAAACUGCAAGCCAACAAAUAAGACGUUUUGUUUUAUAGAUCUUUGAUUUACCACUCCAAAACUAACAUGCAUUUUUGACGUGUUCUUCUCAGUCUUCCCAUCUUGCAAACUUUGGGAAUAAAGAGUUAAACAUAAUCGAGUGUAUCUGCAUCGAAAGAAAGAUGCUCUCUCACAUCCACACUUUGAUUACACAAAACGUAGGAAAUGUCAAUUGUGAUCAUCCAUUUUGCAAACUUUUCCUUAACUGCAAUUCUAUCCUUCAUAACCAACCAGUAGAUAACACUCAAGCUUGGAAUCUGCCAACCAUUCCAACCUAGAGUAGCCCAAUUCACUUCAGCUUGAUGUUGCCUAAUACUUUCCCAAACUCGAUGCAAAUUAAAAUGCGGCAUAGUUGCUCCAUCCCACAUUAACUCACCAGAAACAUCAGUAGAUAUAUGAGGUCUAACCUUGUCUCUCAUUUUCAGAACUCUUCUCCAAAACCAAGAUUUAGUGAAAACCUUCAUUGUCCAAAGAUCCUUCUGCUUAAUUCUGUACUUGUAAAUCCAAGCAACCCAUGAUGAUCCUAGCCGAACAAACAAUGCCCAAAAGUGUCUGAUUAUAUUAGCAGCAUUCCAAGAAUACAUAUCUUUAAUUCCAAUACCUCCUUCCUCUUUUGGAAAGGUAAGAAUGUUCUAAGCAACUUUACAACGACCACCAUCAAGCUUUCCCCAUAAAAAGGGAUUGCAGAAGCUUUCAAUAUCUUUAAGGAGGAUUUUAGCUAGUACAAACACCGACAUCCAAUAUUGGAGGGUACCUCCAAUGACAGGAUUUUUUCAACAUAGAAUAGACUUUUAGCUUUCCAAUUUGUAAUACUCAAGGUAAUUCUAUCAAAGAGGGUCUGGUAGUCAGAAUACAUUACAAGAAAAUAUGGUCGGGUUAAUAGAUUCCCUUGUGGUGGUCACACAACCGCCACUAUUGGAAUAACACUGUAGUGCUUCGGUAAUGGAGGUUAAAACCUCCACUAUGGAACCUCUACAAUUAGUUCGCAUAUAAGCGAUCCUUCAACUUUAGCCCAAAUUUCAGUAAGGAGAUAUUGAAUACAAAACUCUAACUCGUAAACGCAUCCAACCUCCUUCUCUUCCUUCGUCUGACCCGACUGCCACCACCAUCAAGGUAAGUUUUGGUGCUCGUCCGUCCCUCUCUCAUCCGACCACCACUGCUAGUGAAGCCAGCUUGAACAUAUGUCUGUCCUCCUCCUCCGUCCACCCGUCUCUUAUCCAGUAGUCACCCCCAACAACGCCGUUUUCUUCCGUUUCUCUUCCCCUCUUAUCUGUCCGGCAGUUCCUCCUUCCUCUCUUUUGGCUCCAGAAUCGUACGAUGACCUUCACUUGUGAAAAGUGCAGUAAGAAGAGGAAUAGAAGAAGGAGAAGAUAGAAAUUGUGUUCUAUGUAUAUUGAUAAUCUGCAGUACAACUCAAAUAUAUAUAAGUUAUGUGUUAUAACCCUACAUCGACUACAUUAGCUAUCAUGGGUUGGGCCUAUCUAUCACAUCUAUCUAUCUCGUCUAAGUCAUGCACGCCGAUCUUGUCAACCAGAUGACGAAGUCGAGCUUAUCCCAAAGCCUUGGUGAAAAGAUCAGCAAGUUGGUCUUUAGUGUUGAUCUUUUGUGGACUGAUCUUCUUGGAAGCGACUCUUUCGCGUACAAAGUGGCAAUCCAUUUCAACAUGCUUGGUGCGCUUAUGAAAAACUGGAUUGGAGGCGAUGUGUAAUGCAGCUUGAUUGUCACAGUACAACCUCAUACCGCCUCCUCAACUCCCAGAUCCUUGAGCAAAUGUCGUAACCAAAUGGUUUCGUUCACGGUUGUGGCCACGGCUCUAUACUCAGCUUCAACCGAGGAACACGAUACAACCUAUUGCUUUUUCAUGCACCACGCAAUCGUCGAGUGAGUGCACAACCAACCCAAUCGGUAUCGCAGUAUGCGUCCAUCACAAGUGAACUUUUCUUUCAAAUGUUCAGCCCUUGUCGUGGUGCUUGCUUAACGUACCUCAACACUCGCUUGGGUGCAUCAAUGUGCUCUUGCUUGGGUGACUCCACACACUGAAACCGGUAGUUUACUGUAACCUGAAUGUCCGGUCGAGUAAUCGUCAGAUAUAACAGCCUUCCAAGAGUCCGCCGAUAAUGCCCAACAUCUCCAUUCGGUGCCUGAUUAGCAUGACCAAGUGUAUGAAGUUGUUUGAGCGGAAAUGGACUCGGUUUAGAGUUCACCAUCGAAGUAUCUUCCAACAUAUCAAGCGAAUACUUCCGUUGACUCAAGGUGACUCUAGUCUUGGUAUAAGCGACUUCGAUCCCAAGAAAUACUUUAGUAGGCCUAUAACUUUAAUGCUGAAUUUAGCAUCCAGCUGAGUUUUUGACCAUCUUAAUGAAGCCUUCAUCACUCCGGUGAGUAUGACGUCAUCAAAAUGAAUGAUCGAUCGUGGAUUGACAGAAACCGAGUUCGAGGAGAAAUCCUGUGAACUUGGCUUGCCAAUUUUGAGAUGCUUGACGCAAACCAUAAAUUGAUUUUCGAAGUCUCUCCAACCGCAGCAAAACUUUCUGGAAUGUGCAUAUAGACCUCUUCAUCGAGGUCAUGUGAAGGAACGUGUUAUUGGCAUCCAACUGAUGCAUGGACCAACCACGUGCCACAACUAUAACAAUCAAACACCGAACUGUCGUGAGCUUUGCAAGUGGUGCAAAAGUCUCAUGGAAAUCGACAAUUGGAAUCUGUGAAACAACACGAGCAACCAAGCGUGCUUUAUACUGCUCCACCUUACCAUUUGGUUUGAACUUAAUUUUGUAAACCCACUUAUUCGAGACCAAGCGCUUUCCCGGAGGUAGGAAUACUAGUUCCCAUGUGCCAUUAGCUACAAGGGCAUUGAAUUCACGUGUUAUGGCUUCUAUCCAAUGUUGAUAACUCGCUGCUUGUUCAUAAGUGAUAGGUUCGGCUUCUGUCGAGAUGGCCGUCAAGAACACUACAUGUUCUUUCAUAAACUUCUCAUAACUCACAAAAUUGGCUAGUGGAUAGAGUAUUUCGUUCGAGUUAUUGACUAGAGCAUCGACAGACACAAGUGACAGCGGGAGUGAAGUGUCAUAAUCAACAAGAGCGGCCGGGAGCUGUCUCACUCGCAUGCUCUUUCUCAAUCCAGGUACGGGCGAAGGAACACUUUCAUAUAUGAAAAUCGGAGGAUCCACCUCAGUUGCGGGAGUAGAAACCUCGACAUCGGGAGCGGAGGACAAUGGCGCAAUCGGUGAGUGUAUAAGAGGUGAGGUAGCAGCUGGUGAUGGAGAGAUUGCUACAUCCUGUUUUAGGAAGGGAAACUCAUGCUCCACAAAAACAGUGUCACGUGAGGUAAUAAUUUGAUGGCGCUUCAAAUCAUAAACCUGAUAUCCUUUUAGUCCAUGUGGAUAGCCGACGAAGACGCCUGACCAUCCUUGUUCACCAAAUUUAUCGACCCCCUUUCGAUUAUUAUGAGUAUAAAUGAGGUAGCCGAAUGUUCGAAGAUGCCCAUAAUCUGGAGUAUGACCAAAAAACCGUUGAUAAGGGAUUUCAUUAGUAAUAGGUUUUGCCGGUAGUCGAUUAAUGAGAUAACCGGCUGUAAGAACACAUUCACCCCAAAACCGAAUAGGAAGUCUAGCUUGAAAACGAAGGACACACGCCAUUUUGAGUAUGUGACAGUGCUCCCGUUCAACUACCCCAUUUUUGGGGGGUAUCUGUGCAUGACGUUUCAAGAAGAAUGCCAUGCACAUCAUACAAUUUCCGAAUGUGUUGGAAUUGAAACUCCAACCCAUUUUCUUCUCGAAUGCGUUUAACCUGCUCAGCAAACUGGGUGGAAGAAUACUCCCAACUUCAGACUUGUGCUUCAUCAAAUAAACCCAAACCGCACGACUAAAAUCAUCUACACUAGUAAAAAAAUAGUGUGCACCAGUUAAAGAAGUUGUUUUGUAGUCACCCUAUAUGUCACAAUGAAGUAAUUCGAAACAACCCUUUGUUUUUAUUGAACAGAUUGCAAAAGGUAGUCUUGUUUGUGUCGCCCGAAUGCAAACAUCACAAAGAUUUAAUUUAUUAAAAGAAUCAAUAUUCUCUUCAACAAAUAAACUACGAAGCUUUUCAAAUGAAGGAUGUCCAAGUCGUCUAUGCCAAAUGUCGGAUGGGAUGCUGCAUUCCUGAGUUAUCAAUAUCGUAGAGUGUAAUUGCGACACCAUGCCGUCCUAGUAAUAGAGUCUACCUCGUUCCUUACCCCUCCCUAUCAAGGUUUUCAUUGCAAGGUCCGACACCACAAAAGAAUCCGAAAAGAAUAUCACCGCAACAUCGUGUGGUUUGGUUAGCUGGCUUAUAGAGAUUAGAUUGCAUUUGAAUUCUGGAACGUGAAGAAGAUGUGACAAAGAAAGAGUUGGACUCAAGUCCACUCGACCACUCCUAAUGACCGGAACACUUGUCCCAUCAUGUAUUUUUACAGCAGGAUGUCCCGGUGUUGGCUGUAAAGUGUUGAGACAAUCACGUUCACAAGUAAUAUGGUUGGUACAACCUGAAUAAUAAAUCCAAGAUAAAGAUCGUGAAUUACACGACAUUUGAAAAUUGUUCGAAGUAGUAUCUCCAAUUAGCGCCUAGAGUUUAGCGAGUUGAUCGUCGGUGAGGUUCCCAAUCCGGGAACUUGACUCCAAGGCCACUACUUGUCCCGCUCGCGGAUUGGACCGACAAUUCGAAUAUGUCAAAGUCGUAGUGAUGCCGGUAUGACCUUUCCAAGAAUGACAUGUUUGUUGGGAAGGGUUACUUGGCUUGUGGACUUUUUGUAAUUAAUUCUGAUUCUGAAAGCAAUGAAAUUACUCCUUCUGUUUACUUGUCAGAGUCUAUUAAUUUCUAGCAUUCUAGAUUAGGACAUGUAAACAAGAGCUCUUUAAAGCUCAAAAGGAAAAUAGAAUUGCUUCCAAAUCUGAUAGAAAAAUCAGAACCAAGCAAAUGUCAAAUCUAUGCCGAGACCUUUUGUUAAGAAACCUUUCAAACCUGUUAGCCACAGACAGUAUGAGCUUCUAGAACUCAUCCAUUCUUACUUAGCUGAUUUUAAAAAUUAUGAGAGUAGAGGAUGAAAGAGAUAUUACGUCAUGUUUGUUGAUGAUUUUUCCAGGUACAAUAAGGUUUAUUUUCUCAGAUCCAAAGAUGACUUGAGCAGAAAUUUCUGGUCUACAAAGCUGAGGUUGAAAACCAAUUGAAUAGGAAAAUCAAAAGAUUGAGGUCUUAUCAUGGAUGAGAGUACAACACCAAUUCUCUAAGGAAAGUAUGUGAAUCACUAUACAUAAUACAUGAAUUCAUAGCUCCCUACUCACCUCAACAAAAUGGGAUAGCAGAGAAGAAGAACAACUCUCUUAAAGAAAUGAUGAACUCUAUGCUGAUUGGUUCUGGUCUAACAAAGAAAAUGUGAGGGGAUGCACUGCUAACUACUAACAAAAUACUCAAUAGAGUGCCCCAUAAGAAGCUUCAAAAGACUCCCUACGAAUACUGGAAGGGUUUGCUCCCAACUUCAAUCACAUUAAGGUGUGGGGUUGUCUUUCCAAGGUUCCAGUUCCUAGUUGCAGGAGAAAAACUGUUGGUUCCAGAACCCUGGAUGCAAUCUUCAUUGGCUAUGCUUCAAACAGUGUAACAUAUAGAUUCAUGCUUCUAUCAGAUAUUACCAUUUGCAAAUCCAGAGAUGCAGAAUUCUUUGAAUCUAUUUUUUCAAUGCUUGAUAGAAUUGAUAAACCUAACUCUUCUGACAUGCCUGCUGAGAGCUCCAACACCCCUGAUGAACCUGAUCAGACUAAGCUCAGAAGGAGCAAGAGGCUGAAUUACAUAAUAAAUUAUUGUGUCAAAAUAUAUAUAUAUAUAAUAUUAAAAUUGAAUAUUAUGUUUAACCUUCACAUAUUUUGGUAGUUAAAUGAAUAUAAUUACUUCAAUGACAUUGAAAGUCACACAAUAAUACAAUUGAAAAGUAAAGAUAUAUGUAGGCACCUAUAAAAGUUAGUUAAAAAAUCGAAUAAAGUUCCCCUAGAAAUAUCUACUAAUAGACAAAAUCUAGACUAAAGAAGCAAACAACUGUACUAUAAACUCUUUUUGAAGAAUAGUUAAGCAUAAUAAACUAUGUAAUAUAAAAAAAAAUGUUAAAAUAAUGUUGAAAGAAGAUCAUGUUAUAUGAACUAUACUUAUGCUUGAUGGUAUGUCCAAUUCAAAAUGACUCAACCCAAUUAAUGUUUUGAAUUGGCUUCAAUUGGACCGUUAAAAGUAUAUUUAAUAAAUGAUCAUGCUAUAUGAGCUUAUGUUUGAUGGAUAUAUCCAAAUUAAACCCAAGACAACCUGAGCAGUGUUCUGAAUUGGCAUGAGAUAAUAACUCGAACGUGAUUAACUUAUGAAAAUGCAGCAUCAACUCGCCCGUUAACAAUUAUUUUUGAAUGAGAGGUCAUAUUAUAUAACUAUGCUUAUCUUUGNNNNNNNNNNNNNNNNNNNNNNNNNNNNNNNNNNNNNNNNNNNNNNNNNNNNNNNNNNNNNNNNNNNNNNNNNNNNNNNNNNNNNNNNNNNNNNNNNNNNNNNNNNNNNNNNNNNNNNNNNNNNNNNNNNNNNNNNNNNNNNNNNNNNNNNNNNNNNNNNNNNNNNNNNNNNNNNNNNNNNNNNNNNNNNNNNNNNNNNNNNNNNNNNNNNNNNNNNNNNNNNNNNNNNNNNNNNNNNNNNNNNNNNNNNNNNNNNNNNNNNNNNNNNNNNNNNNNNNNNNNNNNNNNNNNNNNNNNNNNNNNNNNNNNNNNNNNNNNNNNNNNNNNNNNNNNNNNNNNNNNNNNNNNNNNNNNNNNNNNNNNNNNNNNNNNNNNNNNNNNNNNNNNNNNNNNNNNNNNNNNNNNNNNNNNNNNNNNNNNNNNNNNNNNNNNNNNNNNNNNNNNNNNNNNNNNNNNNNNNNNNNNNNNNNNNNNNNNNNNNNNNNNNNNNNNNNNNNNNNNNNNNNNNNNNNNNNNNNNNNNNNNNNNNNNNNNNNNNNNNNNNNNNNNNNNNNNNNNNNNNNNNNNNNNNNNNNNNNNNNNNNNNNNNNNNNNNNNNNNNNNNNNNNNNNNNNNNNNNNUAAUAAAUUAAUUAAAAUAAAUAAAUAUAUGAAAUAUUAUAUAAUAAAAACAAAAAAUUAUUUGGUUAUCUUUUUCCAACAAAAAGGAAAGUGAUGAUGUAAUAGUUGUUAGAUUUAAGAGGAAGCCUCUAUGGUUGAGAUGUUAAAAAAAAUUUCCUUAUAUUUGCGUAUAUAAUUGUUUAGAUUUCUAUAAAUAAGACUUUAACUCUAUAUAUCUACUAUCUUUAUUAAAACCUCUAGUAUUCCAUAUCCAAAACUUCAUUUACGAUAAUUUCUUCCACCACGACCUCCAUCCCGCAACUUACCUCUUUUAUUCUUAGUCACACUUCCUCCACGUGGAGAAAAUCUCCAAGAGUAAUCGAGGUUGGUUGUUUUGUAUCAUCCUCUUCAUCUUCAUUAUCAGAUUGCUUAUGAACCGGAGUAGCGUGUACUUCCUUACUUCUUUGAGUUUGCUUCCCUGAAUCUUCCGAUUCGGUUAUUUCUACUUUGCCAUUCUCUUGUACUCAAUAGGUUCUACUCCCUGUUUCACAACUAACGCAUUUUUUUAACAUUGAGCUACCCUUCUCAGAUUCCUCAACUAUAACUUCAAUAAGAUCCUCCUGAGCCAAUUCCGAAACCCUUUCAAGCACCUCAAAAUUAUUAAGCAAAUCCAUUGUCAAAUCAUCAAUGGCAAGAGUUUACAGUAUUAUCGUUUUAGGAUUUCCUCUAUUUGCAUUGAAGUUUCAGAUAAUUCACGUAGCAAGCUAACUGUUUAUGUAACAUCUUCCUUCUUAUUACUCUGAGACAGUAUUCUCCAGAGCUUCAUCCUUCUGAAUCACUUUCUUCCUCCAAGUCGGUUUAGGAGCUUCAUAUAAUCGAGUAGUUGGGCAACUCAUAUUUAACUGCACACGCUCACCAUCCUCCAGGAUUAUAUCA